Molecule: ribosomal RNA, 480 nt
Filed under: uncultured bacterium
Lineage: Bacteria
Description: partial 16S ribosomal RNA
Rfam family: Bacterial small subunit ribosomal RNA
Source: RNAcentral
AUUGAACGCUGGCGGCAUGCCUUACACAUGCAAGUCGAACGGUAACGGGCCUUCGGGUGCCGACGAGUGGCGAACGGGUGAGUAAUACAUCGGAACGUGCCCGAUCGUGGGGGAUAACGAGGCGAAAGCUUUGCUAAUACCGCAUACGAUCUACGGAUGAAAGCAGGGGACCGCAAGGCCUUGCGCGGACGGAGCGGCCGAUGGCAGAUUAGGUAGUUGGUGGGAUAAAAGCUUACCAAGCCGACGAUCUGUAGCUGGUCUGAGAGGAUGAUCAGCCACACUGGGACUGAGACACGGCCCAGACUCCUACGGGAGGCAGCAGUGGGGAAUUUUGGACAAGGGGCGCAAGCCUGAUCCAGCCAUGCCGCGUGAAGGAUGAAGGCCUUCGGGUUGGAAACGGCUUUUGUACGGAACGAAAAGCCUUCUUUAAAUACAGGAGGGUCAUGACGGUACCGUAAGAAUAAGCACCGGCUAACUACG